CAGCUGCCCGUGCCGCCGCGUCGCCGCUUUUGUGGCGGUUACUCGGGCACCGACGCGGGCUUGGGAAGCGGGGUGCGCCCGCAGCCCCAGCCAGGCGCCCGUGAGGGAAGCGGGCUGCCCCUUCCCGCCUGUGCCCGAGGAGCACCUCCGCCGGCGGGUUGCGUUUGUCGAGCGUUUACGCGGAUGACGAAUAAACGCAGACAAGAGGCCUAGCCGGCGUGCCCGAAAUGAGAGGAGGAAGGCUGGGAUCGCUGAGGAAGGAUGUUUUUAAUGGCGGGGAGUAUUUUCUGUGGUAGUUUUGUGAGUCAAGCUGCUGGCGUGAUGCCUGCGGCCCAGGCCUUUGGCUCGGGCGCUGCCAAACUUGGCAGUUCCCCAGGCCGGGGGGGCUGCUGUGGGGCAGCUUGCUCGUGGUGCUCGGCAGGCGUUCUGUGGAGGCUGCGUGUGCGCGCUGUGGGGCGGCAAGGGGCAAGCGGGUCUUGGCCAACCCCUGUGCCCUUGCUGCGCACCAGCCUGACUGUUCUGCUGUCAUUUGCAGUAAUGAGACGGCAGCAAGUUCAGCCCUGACAGGGAGACACGUGGACCAAAAGUGAUUGACGUGUCUCACGAUAAGCGGGGAAGUAUGGCAUUGCCGUAAGAACCUGUUAAUAAACUCACCAAGGGCAUCAACCUAGGAGAGAGGUAGGAUGGAGACAUCAAGUUUAAGCAAUGUCAGCCAGCAAAAAAUUUUUAAAGAGUUUAACCCCUAUGCUGAAAAGCAAAUGUAGAUUGCAGUAAUUGAGAGAACUCUUACCCUAACAGUGGCUCUCUGGCCUACAGGCUGAUAGCUGAGCCAGGAUUCCUAAGGUUUGGAUCAGAUGCCUAAGAAUAGCCAUUGGGAGUCCUCCUCUUUAUCCUUUUAUGCAUGCUUCCGACCACUUGGGCCUUCUGCCUGCACAAAUAAGAAAUGUUAUCCUUGGAUCAUUGCUCCCUGUAGAGCAACUGUCAUGUGGUUGAAGGAUAGUGCUUUGAGCAGCCUGUCAUUGCUGAUACAUAAAAACAAUGGGCUAGAUUAAAUAAAAUGCCCUGAGUUCAGAGCAACUUCAGUUACAGGGCCCAUCUUAGUUCUUGUUACUCCUUCCCCCUCCCUCGGACCAACCUAGUGGAAGAUUGUAGAGAAGCACCUCCACCCUGUAGUCCUCUUUUGAGAGAAGAUGCCUUCAUUUAUGCUGUCAAGUAAUUUAUUUGCCCAUCUGUCAAAGAAGAGGAGUAAUUUUGUUCCGGUGUGAAAGUAAGAUUAAAGGAAGGCAAGGAGGUUGUGCCACCCUUGAGUUCUUACUGUCCCUUCUACAGAAUUGCUCCUUUUUGCAGCCAGAAUGUAAAAUGCGUUUGGCUGAGGGGAGGGAGCACAAGCAAUCAUGUCUCUAUAGCCUAAUGAUUAAAGUAGAGAAAUCCUAAUUCUAGUGGGGGAUGCUCUGAUUUGGGCUCUGGCUAGCAUGCUAAAAGGAGACUUUAAACAGCUGUUUGGCAGGGUCUGCCUACCGCUCAUUUAGCUGAGUUUGACCUAGGUUAUGCCAAGAGGGCCAAAGUGAGUUAUAAUUAGAUCUGAGCUCUUCAACAGCUCUUAACAUCUUUUAUUUCAACAACUAAGACUUCAAAUGGCAGAAUCUAUACACCAUCUAGUGGCCGAAGGCAUUCUUACUCAUUAAAUUUUUAUACUCUGCUACACUGACACCCCCAACACCUUGCCAGUGAAUUUGCCUCUCAAUACUGACAACAGCCGCCCUAGUUUCUGCUUUGUUAGCCAUAAGACAGGCAGAACCACCUUCAAGGGGAUGCUCUGGAACACAGCAGAAAGAAUGGACUUGAAGUAAAUGCCUUCUGAGAGUUUAAAUAUUGUCCCAGAUGUGGACAAUAUGUAAAGAUUUUGCUCAGGGUUUCUGGGUACAGAAAGUGAAGUACUCUCUGCUGAAAGAGUAAAGUACUCUUUACUUAAAAGAAUGCACAGUUCUUCCAGGGGACAAAAUAAAAUCUUGAGUGCAGUUAAUGAAGCUCCUCACUCACUUAAGGUUUCUUAGUAGUACUCAGCGUUUGCCCAAGCAGCUUGCCUUAGCUUGAGCUAGUGAAAGUACAAGGGGGAAAUUUAACUGUCCUUUUUGAACUUCCCUAUUACUCCAGUCAUGAGACUUCCUGAUCAGCCUUAACAAAUCAGUAAGAAAUCAGUGAUUUGGCAUGAGACCACUUCACCCAUCCCACCCGUUCCUCCUUUCUCCAGUAAAGCUGUCCCUCCAGAGCAGGAGUUUCGGGGGAAGGUGGCUUCCCAUUGAGAGGACAGCGGUCACUGUCUGUUCUGCACUUGGUGGCCUGAUGCCACUGCCCUUCCGAAUUGUGGUAAGAUGGAGAUGGAAAGGUCAGUUGAUUUACAUGGGCAGAUACGUGCAAACUUUCAUAGUUUCAGCCAGAAUUCCUAAGCUGUGUAGAGAUUGCUUAAAUCUCUAAGUUGUGUACAUGACAAAAUUCCAGUGUGUCAAAACAGAAUUUUUUCAUGGGAAUGUAUUUUCCAUUACUAAAAUUCUCCCAGGAGAGUGUUCUGUGAUUCAGAAUGGCAUGUCUGGUCAGACCCAGAGCAGGAACGUAGGAAUAGGUGAUGGCUAAAAUGCAUCAGAUCCAGAAAAUUGAAUUUCAGUUUUCAGUCCCAUCACAGGGACUUGACCCAGGGUCUCGCAUACUGGGUCAAUGCCCCAAGGACAGGGCGGCUGGCUGUUAGUGUGGACCUACCUCCGUCUCCUCACCGAACUGCUCUAUUCUGCACACCCUGCCAGCCAGACCAGAAAUCCCCAAAUCCCAUUCUGCAGAACAGCAGGCAGAACACGCACUGUUUUCAAAUCCAUUUGAGGCUCAGAGAUACGUGUCCCACAGCAAUCAACAAUUAAUUGCUAGCCGCACGUUUCAGCUGAAGGAUAGGAGAAAAUUCAUGUAUGCUGGGUAUGCUGCACAUCCAUUAAUGGUAAAAGUCAAAACUUCCUGUUUUCCAGCCCAAUGGCCUUCAGCACAUGUCAUUUAGUCCAUCUGGCAGUAGCUCACCAGGAGGACAAACUAUGUUUCUAUCAGGUAUAGCCUGAGAAGGAUGAAACUAGAUUACAUGUGAAGAGAUUUGUGUAAACAACUGCUUUAAGUUUGUGGCCUGCUGACUUUUGGGUACGUGAACCCAUGCAAAACUGAUGCAGCGUUGUUCUGGUAUGACAAUUACAACUGUUCCUGCUUGGCUGGAGCAAAAAUCCAGCUAGUCUGCUCUCCUGCCUGCUGUGGCAAGUGGAAGCUUACAGGAAGACUACAAGAAGGGGAGAAGAGAGCCUGUUUUUACACCCUCAUUCCUUCUGCUGAUCCGAGGUAAGGGAUCUCACAAACAGAAAUUGUAUCAAAACUGUUCUAUUGAAAGUCUGCCUUUGUAUAAGAACAAAUAUUCCUGAUACACUUCACCUGCAAGUUAAAAAUUAUCUUAAAACUUAAAGUUGAUCCUCUCACUGAUUUAAAGUGCUCUACCAACAACUGUAAAGUAGAAAUUCUAUUUGUUUUUAAAGCACCUUUUGAACUUAAAGUAUAUCACAACAUUAUAGAGUUCUCUUUUUGAAUGAUUAUUGUUUUGCAGUGCCUACAUAAGAGCAGCUUACAAAUACACUUAAUAGCUUGAAGGAUUUUUAAAUUGAUCUGUGCAGCUUUUGCACAGAAAUUCUCGGUACGGUUAAGUCGGAAGUACAACAAACUAGGUCACUCUUGCUUUUUAAGCAUUAAAAAAAAUUAAAAAUUAACUUGUAUGACAUUGAACUCCAAACAGGAGUGAAAAGUCAAUGAACAGCGAAAGUUAUUGGUACGUGGUAAAAUUUCUUUGCAGCUUUCUUUGUAGGGAACAUUAACGCUAGUAUUUGAAUGGGAUUCAUGCAUCUUCUGUAAUGACUUCUCACUCUGAAGGGUGGUUAUCUUAGAGCAACAAGUGCACAGGAGUUAUUCUAAAGUAAAAAAAAAUAUCAGCAGUAAAGCCCUGUCUUUUAAUUCCACAGCAAGGUAAAUAACUAAUGCCUCAGCAACCCUGAUCCACAGUGGCCGAGGUAUUCUGUUUUCCCUGUGGUUUUCUACCUCAGGGUAUUUUACGCCACUUGGUUACCCUGAGUUGAAGUACACAGCCCUUUUUCAGCAGAGAAAGCCAGCCCUGAAUAAAAAGUGCUAGGUUAAAGUGUUUUCCAAAUACGAGCCAGAACAGCACUUUCCAAAAUUUUGAGAGAGGUUUUCAAUGCUACAGGAACAACGUCAGUUAACAUCUUCCCAAUUGCUCUCCUAUUUCCUCCUUGCUAGGGGCAUGGCAAGGCGGCUGCAGCCGCCUAGUUAGCACUGCAGUGGGUGGAACUGCACUCCUGAAAAUCCCCACAAAGCAAAGUGCUUUGGGAUGUGGCCAAAGAAAGUUGGAGAGAUACUGGACUUCUGACUUCUGAAUUCCUCUGGUGGCUUUGUCCUUUUGUGCGAGGCCUCACGUCCUCCAUUUUUGCAGGGAGAAGUCCUGUGGUUUUGCAAGGAAAAGUUCUGCUAUUGCAAGACCUGACUCUGCAAGUCUAAGAAGAGUUUGACCUCCCAUUAACAUGUUCCUUUACGAUAAAAUACAGAUGACAGAAAUGUUGCAGCAACAACAGACAGCUUUUUUGGAGAUAGGAUUUAAGGACCCUGUAUGGCAGGUUCUUAAAGCAGACUAGAAAAGCAAGUAUUAACGUACCCUGUUGAAAUCACAAAGACAAAUGUCUCAACUAUCUUUGCAUUGAAAUAAAGUUUUGACACAGCUGCUUUUACUGCUAGUUACUGGAAUGUGACUUUCUCAUUCACUUCUGUGCCUUGUUCUUGUCAAAACUAUAAAACUAAAAGCUUUAAGGAAAUUAAAAGAAAGAUAAGUUUUUCCA
Long non-coding RNA from Harpia harpyja (harpy eagle), 4919 nucleotides. RefSeq lists it as uncharacterized. The record is from RefSeq and is a predicted model, not a curated record. NCBI's taxonomy places the organism in Eukaryota, Metazoa, Chordata, Aves, Accipitriformes, Accipitridae. The transcript has 2 exons.